Molecule: non-coding RNA, 110 nt
Organism: Acanthosepion pharaonis
Lineage: Eukaryota; Metazoa; Mollusca; Cephalopoda; Sepiida; Sepiidae
Source: the annotation of a GenBank genome assembly
UACAGCCAUGGCACGUUGAAACACCGGUUCCAGUACGAUCACCGAAGUUAAGCAACAUCAGGCCUGGUCAAUACCUAGAUGGGUGACUGCUUUGGAAUACCAGGCGCUGA